UAUGAGACGAAUACGUUCAUUGCUUGAAGAAGUUAUCUAUAAGUAUAAAGAUAGAGUGUGGUGUGUGGAAAUUAGAACACACAGCCUUCUCAUACAAAACUAAACAUACAGAUUAAUUUGUAGAGCAAAAAAUGGUUUCCAAAAUAAAUGUAUUAUUUAUGGGUGUUUUGUUAGUAAUGGUGCUUCUCAUUACUUCGGAAGUUGCAGAUGCUACGAGACUACUCGCUCAGACGUCCAAUACACUACUGCCAUCUGGGGAAGUUGAGGUAAGAAGUCCUGAUGGUCCUGUAUAUGAUUGCGCCAACGGCUGCUGUGGUGUUAGUGUGAGCAGAUAUUGCCGCUGCUGCCGUUAACAACAUCAAACUCAAGCCACAUAAAUAAACUAAAUUAAUUUUCUUUUUUAAAGUUGGGAUUUUUCUGUAUAAGUUUCAGUAUUUAAGAACAAUAAAACAACUCCACUUGCUU
Salvia miltiorrhiza (redroot sage) is the source of this 465-nucleotide long non-coding RNA. RefSeq lists it as uncharacterized. The transcript is spliced from 2 exons. The record is from RefSeq and is a predicted model, not a curated record. Lineage: Eukaryota; Viridiplantae; Streptophyta; Magnoliopsida; Lamiales; Lamiaceae.